UUUCCGUAGGUGAACCUGCGGAAGGAUCAUUGUCGUGACCCUGACCAAAACAGACCGCACACGCGACAUCCAAUCUGCCGAUGAUGGCACCGUCCGUCGCUCGGCCAAGUCCUCGACCGCCUCCCCUCCUCGGAGUGGGGGCUCGGGGUAAAAGAACCCACGGCGCCGAAGGCGUCAAGGAACACGGUGCCUAACCCGGGGGCAUGGCUAGCUUGCUAGUCGUCCCUCGUGUUGCAAAGCUAUUUAAUCCACAUGACUCUCGGCAACAGAUAUCUCGGCUCUC
This 283-nucleotide unclassified non-coding RNA is filed under the name root metagenome. RNAcentral's name for it is "partial contains small subunit ribosomal RNA, internal transcribed spacer 1, and 5.8S ribosomal RNA". The record is from RNAcentral.